This 26-nucleotide non-coding RNA is filed under the name Rattus norvegicus (Norway rat). The record is from RNAcentral. Lineage: Eukaryota; Metazoa; Chordata; Mammalia; Rodentia; Muridae.
GGGGAGGGUGGAGGUGGAGGUGGAGG